This 572-nucleotide long non-coding RNA is filed under the name Panax ginseng (ginseng). Its description in RNAcentral is "long non-coding RNA (PGIN_LNC008491)". The record is from RNAcentral. Lineage: Eukaryota; Viridiplantae; Streptophyta; Magnoliopsida; Apiales; Araliaceae.
CAGAGUUUCCCAAAUCUCAGUGAAUACUUCAAUAACAACCCCUAUGAUGAGAAAUGGAGUCAAAAGCACAAUGGUAUUAAAGCUAGAUAACUUUAAGUAUAUAAUCAGAAGAACAGCAAUUUGAGUGCCAAAUCAAGUAUAUAAAUUUUAAGCCCUUACCGAAUGGAAGUGUGGAACAAGGAGAUCGAACUGAGGGCUUCCGAUUCUAGGGCUUGAGUGGGAUCGAACUGAGAUUUCAAGGGCUUUGAUUCAAGGGCUUUGAUUUGGAGAAGUUUUGGGAAGAUUCGAAUGGAGAAAGACUCGGUGCCGUUAGACGACUGAGAGCACUCGAUUUUAUAGGGCUUCGAUUUUCUGAAUCAAGGGCUUGAGAAGGAACUCUGGGCUUCGAUGUUUUGCAGCAAUCGAUUUUCUGGAGGGGAUGAAGGGUUACGAACCGAAGGCAUCGACUCCGAUUUCUGUGGCAUGGUGCGAUUUUCAGAUGAUUUGGAGAAGUUUUGUGCAUAUUCGAAAGCCAGCGGAAUUAGUUUGAGAGCUCAAUCGCAUCACUGAGUGAGGAAAGAGACUUAAAAACA